GGAAAGAGCGGAUGGGAACAGCCACAACUUCCAACUCUUCGACUCUUGUAACCAUGAGAAAGAAGCCGAGGAUAGUGAGUGGCAUCUGCUUCUACUGGUCACGGCAGGUGCCUGGGAUUCAACUGGUCCCGCUAACUCUUUCUUAACCUUACUGCUUCCAUUUGAUAAAACUGUGUUGACGAACACAGGUGAAGAAGGAGAAGCUGAUGUCUCCCUCUGGCAAGGUAAGCUAAUCGAUCGAUUGUCUCUUGCAUCGAUCCUCUUUCAUAUUCUUCCCUUCUCAGUUUGACUUCGACGGUCAGAACGGAAUGCAACAGGCUGACACGACCUCAGUUCUCGGUUCUCUAUCUUUGUGGUGGUAUAAACUCACUCGGUGUUCGAAUCACCGGUUCGCAGAAAUUAUCCGUUCCGUUUUGGGAUAGAAUUUAUGAAUCUUUGAUUCGUCUACUUUUCAAUCUGAUUAAACGUAUUUAUUUAGACCUGUAUUUUCAUCUGAUUUUUUUAUUAUUUAUUUCUCGAAUUUGAGAUGAUGUCAUGCAUAAUUUUGUGUAAUCCACUUGAGAGUUUGCUACUAAAAUUUUUCUCUUUAAUUCGAAUCUAAAUUUACAUGGAAAAGUCUGAUGCAGCCACAAUUCGAUUUCAGUUUAAUUUACUGUUCUAACACCUACGAACAGAGGGGUUUCAUGUAGCCUCUUUGAGUUGGUGAUCCAGAGAUCUCUUUCGUUUGCCUGAGAACAGCUUCCGUCGUUUCUUCGAGGUAUGUUCCAUGGCCGAGAUCUCAGCAAUGCUAUCCCACGAGAAGAAGGCAACCAACCCUCAUCUCUGAGGGCACACCGACAACCCAGAAGAACCCAUCUUUCUCUCACUCGGAAGGCUUGGGUUCGCGGACGACGCCGCUUCCUGCGCUCGACCUGUUUGUUUAUUUGCCGCAACGGAACAACAUGAGACACGAGCGGCGCCAUAGGCCAAGGCUGGAGGCCGGAUGAUGGGCUUUAGGCCCAACCGUCA
RNAcentral lists this long non-coding RNA (1008 nucleotides) under Musa acuminata (dwarf banana). RNAcentral's name for it is "long non-coding RNA (MACU_LNC003690)". The record is from RNAcentral. Lineage: Eukaryota; Viridiplantae; Streptophyta; Magnoliopsida; Zingiberales; Musaceae.